Molecule: long non-coding RNA, 1565 nt
Organism: Schistocerca gregaria
Lineage: Eukaryota; Metazoa; Arthropoda; Insecta; Orthoptera; Acrididae
Exons: 2
Source: RefSeq, a predicted model, not a curated record
UACAGUCUACCACCUAAAAUUCAGCCAUCUUACCGCAAAAAUGAUUAUUCUCAACAAACCAUAAGGACAUUGGUACUUUAUACUUCAUAUUUGGAGCAUGAGCAGGAAUAGUAGGAACAUCAAUAAGAAUACUUAUUCGUGCUGAACUUGGCCAACCCGGAUCUCUAAUUGGGGAUGACCAGAUUUAUAAUGUUAUUAUUACAGCUCACGCAUUUGUAAUAAUUUUCUUUAUAGUAAUACCUAUUAUAAUUGGUGGAUUUGGUAAUUGACUUGUUCCACUAAUAAUUGGUGCACCAGAUAUAGCAUUUCCACGAAUAAAUAAUAUAAUUUUUGAUUACUACCACCUUCACUAACCCUUCUUCUUACAUCUUCUAUAGUAGAUAAUGGUGCUGGUACAGGAUGAACAGUUUACCCUCCUCUAGCAGGAGCUAUUGCACACGGGGGUGCAUCUGUAGAUCUAGCUAUUUUUUCACUGCACUUAGCAGGUGUAUCAUCUAUUCUUGGUGCAGUGAAUUUCAUUACAACAGCAAUUAAUAUACGAUCAGAAAGUAUAACUUUAGAUCAAACACCUUUAUUUGUAUGAUCUGUAGCUAUUACAGCAUUACUUCUCCUUCUUUCACUUCCAGUUUUAGCAGGAGCUAUUACUAUAUUAUUAACAGAUCGAAAUUUAAAUACAUCAUUCUUUGACCCUGCAGGAGGGGGUGACCCAAUUCUAUAUCAACAUCUAUUUUGAUUCUUUGGACACCCAGAAGUUUAUAUUUUAAUUCUACCGGGGUUCGGAAUUAUUUCACAUAUUGUAUGUCAAGAAAGAGGAAAAAUUGAAUCAUUUGGAACAUUAGGUAUAAUUUAUGCUAUACUAUCAAUUGGACUAAUAGGAUUUAUUGUAUGAGCACAUCAUAUAUUUACAGUAGGAAUGGAUGUUGACACACGAGCAUAUUUUACAUCAGCAACAAUAAUUAUUGCUGUACCUACAGGAAUUAAGGUAUUUAGAUGAUUAGCUACAUUAUAUGGAACUAAAUUCAAGUUCAAUCCACCAUUAUUAUGAGCUCUAGGAUUUAUUUUCCUAUUUACAAUUGGUGGAUUAACAGGAUUAGUAUUAGCAAAUUCAUCACUUGAUAUUGUAUUACAUGAUACAUAUUAUGUAGUAGCCCACUUUCAUUACGUAUUAUCUAUAGGAGCAGUAUUUGCAAUUAUAGGAGGUGUCAUUCAAUGAUAUCCACUAUUUACAGGAUUAACUAUAAAUAAUACAUGAUUAAAAAUCCAAUUUACAAUUAUAUUCAUUGGAGUAAAUUUAACAUUCUUUCCUCAACACUUCCUAGGAUUAGCAGGAAUACCUCGACGAUACUCUGACUACCCAGACGCAUAUACAUCAUGAAACGUAGUAUCAAGAAUUGGGUCUACAAUUUCUAUUGUAGGAAUCAUUAUAUCAAUUGUAAUUAUAUGAGAAAGAAUGAUUACAAACCGAGCAACUAUAUUUAGAGCUAACAUAAGAAGAUCAACAGAAUGACUACAAAAUAUCCCUCCUGCAGAACAUAGUUACUCAGAAUUACCAUUAAUCUCUAGAU